GGCGAACGCUGGCUGUUGCAGCUCCUGAGCCGUCCAGAUUUCCCGACAGAAACACGCCAUGGCUCCGAAGUCCGCACAAAUUCCGCCCCGAUUAUGGAGGAGCUCGGAGCAAAUCUGAAGUUGACAGAAGGGACACUUCAAAUGGAGUGACUGACUACAAAUGGUAACCAGGAAUCUUGUAUGAAAUGGCAUUUACAAGUCUUCAGUAUAUGGCAGGACUGCAAACGUUCCGCUCAGCGUCUCCAGCUCAUGAAAACAUCACUAAUGCAUCACCAUUAUCUAUGCAACAAGAGUCUGAAGCAAAGGACAGCGAGAUCCCGAGAAGGCGAAUUAUGGUGAUGAUAAUUGUGACCAGAUCUAACAAUCCCGGA
Long non-coding RNA from Macrobrachium nipponense, 371 nucleotides. RefSeq lists it as uncharacterized. NCBI's taxonomy places the organism in Eukaryota, Metazoa, Arthropoda, Malacostraca, Decapoda, Palaemonidae. The transcript has 3 exons. The record is from RefSeq and is a predicted model, not a curated record.